RNAcentral lists this ribosomal RNA (510 nucleotides) under uncultured bacterium. RNAcentral's name for it is "partial 16S ribosomal RNA". It matches the Rfam family "Bacterial small subunit ribosomal RNA", at positions 28 to 507 of the family's 1533-position model. The record is from RNAcentral.
GACGAACGCUGGCGGCGUGCUUAACACAUGCAAGUCGAACGAAGAGCGACGGAAGCUUGCUUCUAUCAAUCUUAGUGGCGAACGGGUGAGUAACGCGUAAUCAACCUGCCCUUCAGAGGGGGACAACAGUUGGAAACGACUGCUAAUACCGCAUACGAUCUAACCUCGGCAUCGAGGAUAGAUGAAAGGUGGCCUCUACAUGUAAGCUAUCACUGAAGGAGGGGAUUGCGUCUGAUUAGCUAGUUGGAGGGGUAACGGCCCACCAAGGCGAUGAUCAGUAGCCGGUCUGAGAGGAUGGACGGCCACAUUGGGACUGAGACACGGCCCAGACUCCUACGGGAGGCAGCAGUGGGGAAUCUUCCGCAAUGGACGAAAGUCUGACGGAGCAACGCCGCGUGAGUGAUGACGGCCUUCGGGUUGUAAAGCUCUGUUAAUCGGGACGAAAGGCCUUCUUGCGAAUAGUGAGAAGGAUUGACGGUACCGGAAUAGAAAGCCACGGCUAACUACGUG